CUGGACGGGGUCAACUCGUGA
RNAcentral lists this non-coding RNA (21 nucleotides) under Arabidopsis thaliana (thale cress). The record is from RNAcentral. Lineage: Eukaryota; Viridiplantae; Streptophyta; Magnoliopsida; Brassicales; Brassicaceae.